UAGGGAAUCUUCGGCAAUGGACGAAAGUCUGACCGAGCAACGCCGCGUGAGUGAAGAGGGUUUUCGGAUCGUAAAACUCUGUUGGUAGAGAAGAACGUUGGUGAGAGUGGAAAGCUCAUCAAGUGACGGUAACUACCCAGAAAGGGACGGCUAACUACGUGCCAG
RNAcentral lists this ribosomal RNA (165 nucleotides) under uncultured bacterium. Its description in RNAcentral is "partial 16S rRNA". It matches the Rfam family "Bacterial small subunit ribosomal RNA", at positions 355 to 511 of the family's 1533-position model. The record is from RNAcentral.